GAUGAACGCUGGCGGCGUGCCUAAUACAUGCAAGUCGAGCGAACGGACGAGAAGCUUGCUUUUCUGAUGUUAGCGGCGGACGGGUGAGUAACACGUGGAUAACCUACCUAUAAGACUGGGAUAACUUCGGGAAACCGGAGCUAAUACCGGAUGAUAUUUUGAACCGCAUGGUUCAAAAGUGAAAGACGGUCUUGCUGUCACUUAUAGAUGGAUCCGCGCUGCAUUAGCUAGUUGGUAAGGUAACGGCUUACCAAGGCAACGAUGCAUAGCCGACCUGAGUGGGUGAUCGGCCACACUGGAACUGAGACACGGUCCAGACUCCUACGGGAGGCAGCAGUAGGGAAUCUUCCGCAAUGGGCGAAAGCCUGACGGAGCAACGCCGCGUGAGUGAUGAAGGUCUUCGGAUCGUAAAACUCUGUUAUUAGGGAAGAACAUAUGUGUAAGUAACUGUGCACAUCUUGACGGUACCUAAUCAGAAAGCCACGGCUAACUACGUGCCAGCAGCCGCGGUAAUACGUAGGUGGCAAGCGUUAUCCGGAAUUAUUGGGCGUAAAGCGCGCGUAGGCGGUUUUUUAAGUCUGAUGUGAAAGCCCACGGCUCAACCGUGGAGGGUCAUUGGAAACUGGAAAACUUGAGUGCAGAAGAGGAAAGUGGAAUUCCAUGUGUAGCGGUGAAAUGCGCAGAGAUAUGGAGGAACACCAGUGGCGAAGGCGACUUUCUGGUCUGUAACUGACGCUGAUGUGCGAAAGCGUGGGGAUCAAACAGGAUUAGAUACCCUGGUAGUCCACGCCGUAAACGAUGAGUGCUAAGUGUUAGGGGGUUUCCGCCCCUUAGUGCUGCAGCUAACGCAUUAAGCACUCCGCCUGGGGAGUACGACCGCAAGGUUGAAACUCAAAGGAAUUGACGGGGACCCGCACAAGCGGUGGAGCAUGUGGUUUAAUUCGAAGCAACGCGAAGAACCUUACCAAAUCUUGACAUCCUUUGACAACUCUAGAGAUAGAGCCUUCCCCUUCGGGGGACAAAGUGACAGGUGGUGCAUGGUUGUCGUCAGCUCGUGUCGUGAGAUGUUGGGUUAAGUCCCGCAACGAGCGCAACCCUUAAGCUUAGUUGCCAUCAUUAAGUUGGGCACUCUAAGUUGACUGCCGGUGACAAACCGGAGGAAGGUGGGGAUGACGUCAAAUCAUCAUGCCCCUUAUGAUUUGGGCUACACACGUGCUACAAUGGACAAUACAAAGGGCAGCGAAACCGCGAGGUCAAGCAAAUCCCAUAAAGUUGUUCUCAGUUCGGAUUGUAGUCUGCAACUCGACUACAUGAAGCUGGAAUCGCUAGUAAUCGUAGAUCAGCAUGCUACGGUGAAUACGUUCCCGGGUCU
RNAcentral lists this ribosomal RNA (1372 nucleotides) under uncultured bacterium. Its description in RNAcentral is "bacterial SSU rRNA". It matches the Rfam family "Bacterial small subunit ribosomal RNA", at positions 28 to 1381 of the family's 1533-position model. The record is from RNAcentral.